This 468-nucleotide ribosomal RNA is filed under the name uncultured bacterium. RNAcentral describes it as "partial 16S ribosomal RNA". It matches the Rfam family "Bacterial small subunit ribosomal RNA", at positions 28 to 507 of the family's 1533-position model. The record is from RNAcentral.
GACGAACGCUGGCGGCGUGCUUAACACAUGCAAGUCGAACGGAAAGGCCCUGCUGUUUGGGGGUUCUCGAGUGGCGAACGGGUGAGUAACACGUGAGUAACCUGCCCUUGACUUUGGGGUAACUUCAGGAAACUAGGGCUAAUACCGGAUAGGAGCGCCGGCUGCAUGGUGGGGGUUGGAAAGGUUCGACGGGUGGGGAUGGACUCGCGGCUGAUCAUCUUGUUGGGGGGGUAGUGGCAUACCAAGUCUUUGACGGGUAGCCGGCCUGAGAGGGUGACCGGGCACCUUGGGACUGAGAUACGGCCCAGAGUCCUAUGGGGGGCAGCAGUGGCGAAUAUUGCACAGUGGGCGCGAGUCUAUUGAAGAAACGCCGCGUGCGUGAUGAAGGCUCUGGGGUUGUAAACCGCUUUAGCCUGUGACGAAGCGUCAGUGACGGUAAUGGCUAAAGAAGCACCGGCUAACUCCGUG